RNAcentral lists this ribosomal RNA (899 nucleotides) under Thermotogaceae bacterium enrichment culture clone HB_65. Its description in RNAcentral is "bacterial SSU rRNA". It matches the Rfam family "Bacterial small subunit ribosomal RNA", at positions 8 to 916 of the family's 1533-position model. The record is from RNAcentral. Lineage: Bacteria; Thermotogati; Thermotogota; Thermotogae; Thermotogales; Thermotogaceae.
AGAGUUUGAUCAUGGCUCAGGGUGAACGCUGGCGGCGUGCUUGACACAUGCAAGUCGAACGGUAUGUGGCAACACAUAGAGUGGCGAACGGGUGAGUAACACGUGGGAACGUAUCUUUUGCAGGGGGAUAACUGACCGAAAGGACAGCUAAUACCGCAUAAGUCCGGGAGGAGAAAGGUGCAACAGCAUCGGCAGAAGAGCGGCCCGCGGUCCAUCAGCUAGUUGGUGAGGUAAGGGCUUACCAAGGCGACGACGGAUAGCCGGCGUGAGAGCGUGGCCGGCCACAAGGACACUGAGAUACGGGUCCUACUCCUACGGGAGGCAGCAGUGCGGAAUUUUAGAUAAUGGAGGGAACUCUGGUCUAGCGACGCCGCGUGCAGGAAGAAGGUCUUCGGAUUGUAAACUGCUGUGGUAAGGGAAAAAUGCUAUGUAGAGUGGAAAGCUACAUAGAGGGAUGGUACCUUACUAGAAAGCCCCGGCUAACUACGUGCCAGCAGCCGCGGUAAUACGUAGGGGGCGAGCGUUACCCGGAAUCACUGGGCGUAAAGGGAGCGUAGGUGGCCUAACAUGUCAACUGUGAAAACCCGGAGCUCAACUCCGGACUUGCAGUUGAAACUGGUAGGCUUGAGGACGGUAGAGGAAGACGGAACUGCCAGUGUAGGGGUAAAAUCCUUAGAUAUUGGCAGGAACGCCGGUGACGAAGGUGGUUUUCUGGGCCGGUUCUGACACUGAUGCUCGAAAGCCAGGGGAGCGAACGGGAUUAGAUACCCCGGUAGUCCUGGCCCUAAACGAUGUUCACUAGGUGUGGGGAGCGGAAAGCUCUCCGUGCUAAAGCUAACGCGAUAAGUGAACCGCCUGGGGAGUACGCCCGCAAGGGUGAAACUCAAAGGAAUUGACGG